Molecule: ribosomal RNA, 177 nt
Filed under: uncultured Syntrophus sp.
Lineage: Bacteria; Pseudomonadati; Thermodesulfobacteriota; Syntrophia; Syntrophales; Syntrophaceae
Description: partial 16S ribosomal RNA
Rfam family: Bacterial small subunit ribosomal RNA
Source: RNAcentral
UCUAGGGCGUACACACGUGCUACAAUGGGUGGUACAAAGAGCAGCUAACUCGCGAGAGUAUGCAAAUCUCAAAAAGCCAUCCUCAGUUCGGAUUGGAGUCUGCAACUCGACUCCAUGAAGUUGGAAUCGCUAGUAAUCGCGGAUCAGCAUGCCGCGGUGAAUACGUUCCCGGGCCUU